This is a long non-coding RNA of Eptatretus burgeri (inshore hagfish), 1648 nucleotides long. The record is from Ensembl. NCBI's taxonomy places the organism in Eukaryota, Metazoa, Chordata, Myxini, Myxiniformes, Myxinidae.
GCACACACACACACACACACACACACACACACACACACACACACACUGACACACACACAGGUAUCUAUUAUUACAGAUCACAAAACUGUUUCGAUGAAUGUUUUUUGUUUUUUUAUGUAAUAAACACCUCUCGUCCCUGCUCUUGUCCAUGUCCACAGGUUUUUCAGAAUGAUCCUGGGGAUCAGGGAAUGAUAGACAGUGUUCUUGACAUUGUCGUCGUUGCGAUUGUGUUGCUAUUGUUCAUCGGUGUCAUAUCAUGUGAACCAUCGUGUUGGUUCAGAAAGACAUCUCACCAAAAGAAGUGCUGCAUUCACUGUUUUCAAUGUAGUGGAAAAAGAAAACCAAAAGAAGAAUUAAAAUACAAACUUCCAUUGGUGAAGGAGCUUCAGGUUCAGGAAAACGAACACAUUGGGAUGGAGGAAGUUCAGGAGAUUCAAGGUGAAAUGGAUACGAUAGGAAACCAAGACUUUGGUUACAAAGAACAGGGAGAAGAUCUAAAAGAUCGAGAGAAGGUUUUGCUCGCAGAGAAAGAAAAACUGGAGCAAAGAAAGCAUAAGUUGCUGAAAAACGAAGGAAACGUGAAACGAAGAGAGAAAUUAGUGAUGGAAAGACAAAAAAAGUUGAAGGAAAAAGACAUGGAACCAAAAUUGAAAAAAGAAUUAUGGAAAAAGAAGGAAGAAGAAUGGAAGAAAGGACAGGAAGAACAGAAGAAAGGUAAAAAUGAAGUGAAGCAUUGUGAAAAAAACGAACAGGAGAGGAAAGGAAAAGACCUGUUGGAGAGAAGGAACUAUGAAGGACGCAAACGAGCGAAACAAGAAGCACAUUUUCAGACAGAAAAUUCCCAGUUGUUUGUCGGGGAAAAGCCUAAAUACACACCAUGUGAGCAAACGAAGCUUCCUUGUACAAAACCGUCGCUCAGGCAAUAAAAAUAAGCAAAUUAAGAAGGUGAAGGAGUGCAAAAGUGAGGAAGUUGAGAUCAGUCCUGGAAAAGAAGAACACACGGUCCUUGAUCAGGUGCUCAACAAUCCAUUUAAGGAUUUGGAUGAACCAACUCAACAAAAUGCUGUUUGGAAAUUGAAUUCAAAGAAACAGGAAGAAGAGGGACAGCUGCUGAAAAAAAAGGAAAAGCUCUUCUUCAAAAAACAACAGAAGCAGCAGAGACACGCAGCGAACAAGAGUGUGGCAAUUGAAGUGACACCCCUCAGAAUGUAUCAGACACCUCACCGUGAAGGCAGAUUCCAACAGAAACAGAACGUUGUUGAUUGGCUGCCACCCAAAUUCGAGCCUCAACAUAAUGACGAACUGCAGCAGCAGAAACGGUACAGUGUCAUCCUCCAACAGCAACUGCCUCCUCACCAUAAUGACUCACUGCAGCACCAACAACACAAACAACACAUUGUUGAGGGGCUGAAGGAAAAGCAGAAGCCUAAUUGUGAUCACAGGCAGCUGCAACAGCAGAGGCAGCACAGUGUUGAGGGGCUCCAGCUGGAAAGGAAGUCUCACCAUGAUGAAGAGCUGUAACAGCAGAAGCAGCACGGUGUUCAGGGACCACAUCAUAAACAGGACCUUCAGCAGGUAAAUCACUCUUCAAUACUUUGGGGCAGUUGGGGUUAACCAUCGACUUCCAUUCACCAACUAGACUGCGUGU